RNAcentral lists this long non-coding RNA (3977 nucleotides) under Sus scrofa (pig). RNAcentral's name for it is "lncRNA (ENSSSCG00030031297.1)". Lineage: Eukaryota; Metazoa; Chordata; Mammalia; Artiodactyla; Suidae. The record is from RNAcentral.
UGCGCGGUGGCGGCGGCAGCGGCGGCGGCGGCGGCGGCGGCGUCUCCGGCCCCAGCCCUUUGAGCGGACUGCUGAGGCAGCUGAGGAGGUACCUGCGGCCCCGCCGCCGAGGGGAGGGGGACGCCGCUGAGCGCGGGGGUUACAGCGGGAGCCCGGGCUUUCCUCGCUCCCGCCCUCCCCGCUGCUGAGUGGGCUCCCGAGGUGAUUCCCCAGCCCCGCGCACGCCUGCUGAGACGGAGGUGUGGAGUGCCGCGGACGGGGACCCAGCUCCGGCGGUCAGAGACGCAGAGAUGACGAGGCAGCAGGGCCGGUGCUGCGCCGGCCUGGGAAGUCAGGCGCGGAGCCUGGAACCUGCGAACGCCGGCCGUGGCCAUUCCGAGGCAGGUUCGGCCCCACGUACCUUUUGAAGGGCCCGGUGUCGGGUUUUCCACCAACUCCUCCGACGCUGAGAGCGCCCAAUACCCAUUUUAGAGGAUGCCCUUUUGUUUUCAGAUAUUCUUGUAUAAGAACUGAAAAGUACCACUGGGAUUAAAAACGAGUGACAAACUGUAAACAUAAUUCUUCAAAACUCAUGUUCUUUUGAAAUCUUAAGCGGGCUUCUGUGCAACGCUUAGUAAAAAAACAGUUUGCCUCAGGAGGCUCUAUUUAAAUGACACAUAAUUAAUCCCCCAAAGUAGAGAUGCAAAGUAGAGAUGCAAACUCUCUGCCACCAUUCUAAGUGUUUUGUCUUUGUUGGUCUUAAAUGGCUCCACUGAGUAAGAGAGAAACUCAUUUUAUUUCUAUAACAAUUUCAAUAAUGUCAGGAUUUUCCAGUUCCUGCAGUAACCCAUUUUCUCUAGUUCAACUGCAUGAGAUGCAGAAAUGCCACUUUUUUCAACUAACAUGAGUUGACAUUCCCCCUCCCACACACAAAGAGCUGAAACCACAGUAAAAAUAUUUUUGAUGUUUUCAGGCUUGUGAUAUAAACCAAGUAAAACUUAAGGUGGCCUAUCUGUAGGCUUGAUUUUUAUUUUUCUAAUAAUUGAAACUUAUAUGGACAAUUUUGUAAAGAAAUUUAGGAGAUUAUCUAGACAAGUGUACACUAAGAGAAUAUAAAUAUAGCAGCUUUCCUUUCAUAAUCCAGAUCAUGGUUGUGAUUUACAGUGUUUUCUUGGCUAACCAGUUGUGAAAGGUAUUGUAUUUCGGAGUACUUACAUUCCAAUUGAGUCUCAGAAUAUUGCAUCAAUAUUUCUAGAAAAGAUCAUUUCCAGCAACAGUAAUUUAUAGAGUAGCUAGCUUUGUGUUCAGAAAUGGAAUGGAAUGGAUGCAUUGUGAAUCAUUAGACGUUGCAGUCACAGGGAGAUUUUAAAAGUAAUUUGAUCAAAAUAACACUGCUAAUAAUAACAAUGAACAUUAUUGAGCACUGUGCUAAGUACUUUACAUAUAUUUUAUCCUCAAAACAGCUCUAUCAUUAGCCACAUUUCACAGAUGAAAAACUCUUGGCUAUCACAUUCACUUCCUAUCCCCAGAGCCUAUUACACAUAGUUCAAUAACUGUUGAAUAAAUUAAUGAAUAAGACUUAAAGAGGUUAAGUAAUUUGUCUGAGGUCAUGAUGCAUGAUUGUAAUACCAAUUUAAGGUGAUUCCAGAAUAUGAGUUGUUAAAACCUGUAAAAAGGUUUGUAUCGUGGUCACAACAUGAACAGUAUUUUGGAAGGGGGAAGUUCUAUUGAAUGUUAAAACUGAAUACAUCUCAUUAGAAAGUUAACUGCAGGAGUUCCUGUCAUGGCUCAGUGAAAGUGAACCAACUAGUGUCCAUGAGGAUGCAGGUUUGAUCACUGACCUUGCUCAGUGGGUUAAGGAUCUGGCAUUGCCAUGAGCUGUAGUGUAAGUCGCAGGUGAGGUUCUGAUCCCUCAUUGCUGUGGCUGUGGCUCCAAUUUGACCUCUAGCCUAAGAACUUCCAUAUGCCUUGGGUGGGACCCUGAAAAGACCAAAAAAAAAAAAAAAGUUAACCGCAAAGGUGUCUGAGAGUCACCACAAGUGUUCCUGACCAGCUCCAACUAUGAGAAUAUAGUGAGUAAAGAAAUCUGUCUGAAAUGCCAAACAGUAUAUCCUGUGUUUGCAUGACAAGCAGCCAGACCAUAUAUCAUUGCAAGCAAGCUUAAAGUGAGAUAUUAUUUGCAUAAUGAAUGGAAUAUCAAUCAAAACAAAUGCCAAAGACCAGGGUGCAGUAAAAAUAAAAGAUAUACCUUUCAUGAAAAGACCAGUGCCAAACAGAUGGAAAAAAGAUCCUAGAGAAAGAGUAUUUUGAGAAUUACAUCACAGAAUUAAGUUGUACCUGUUCUCCUCCUAUUUAUGACACAAUAAGGAUUUUAACUACCUGAGAUAAUCAAGGCCUUAGGUUUUGUCGCAAGUCCUCCUUCCUGAGGUUUCCCCUACAAAAUGUACAAAAGAUCACAAAUUUGCUUUUGAUUUUGACAGUAUAAUAGGCAUUAAUUGUUUCACUUAAUUUGUUCAGAACAUAACUGACUUUUCACUCAAAUAUUCUUUACUUGGGGUGAAGAAAAAUGAAAUGAUUAAAUAAUCAUUGCCUUCACUCUCUUAUUAACUCCAAAUGACUCAGCUAAAUCUUUCUUGAAUUUUUUCCACUUUUUGAAUAAACUAGCUUUUUAUUCUCUUGCCUAUUGUUUAAAAUGUUAAUUCUUGCCCCAUUUUUUAAAUUGUAGUAUAAUGUGAUUACAUACAAACUUCUACCUCUUAAUUUUGCCUACUCAAUGUACAAUACAGUUUCAAAGAUUAGGAGGAAAGGAAUGUUGUCAUAAAAUACAUAUCAAAAUAAUGCACUAAAUGAUAUGUCACACAUACUUCAAUAGUGUAGAUAAAAAACCAAGCAUUUUUUGGAAGCAAGCAAAGAAGAAAUAUUAAAUUGAUGCAUUCAAUUGGAUAUAAACUUGUAAGAUGUUUGCAACCAUAUCAGAAUAAACCACUUUAAAUCAUAUAUUAAUGUACCCAUUAUAGUUUUAUCUUUUUAUUUGUCUUUUUUUGUUUUUUAAUGAUUUUUAUUUUUUAAUUAUAAUUGGUUUACAGUGUUCUAUUUCUAUUGUACAGCAUUAUUUGUCUUUUAAACCCUCUAGAUUUCAAUAAAAAAUUAAAAUCUCUUGAGCAAAAUGUUUUAGAUAAGAUUUUAUAGCAUAUGUAAUGAGUCUAAGUGCUUCAGAUACGGAAUUUGCAAAGGUCCUCUUAUUUACUUCUGGGAAGUAGAAAAUCGUGUGAAAUGAGAAAAUGAUAUUGUUCUAGUAAGAAAUAGAAAAAUCUGGUGGUUUUGUCAAUUUGGAUAUCCUUCAUGGCCUUAUUAAGGUAUAUAGUCUAUCAACUUUUUCACAAGUCAAUUUUUCUUCUUAACCCACCUAUGUGUACAUCUUACUCUGAUGGCUCCACGAUGAAUGGUAACAUUUCUUCAACUUACCACCCCAACUGCAAUACUAUUUUUGAUGAAAUCCCAGAUGGAAAUGAUGACGUCUAUUCUUAUCUGAUUAUACUUUCACCAUUUAUAAAAUGAUGGCACCUUUUAACUAGACUGACUUUGAAAUCCUCAUCAUAUUGCACAUGUCAUCUUGCACAUCUCUGCAUAGGCAAUGUAGACAAAGCUCAACCACAGUCUGACACAUGUCAUGGCGAAAUGCCCCGUGAUCUUCCCUGGAACAUGAUAAGACAGUCUUAGGAGGAACUAACGCAAAUCCAUUUCUCUCUUGCCACCCUGGUUCCAGGGAGGCAUGGGACUUUCCAUCUCAAAGCAUCUUCGUGUACAGCUUCAGACUAAAGAACUAUUCAGCUGAAGUUUAGAGUUGGCGCCUCGAUGACAAAGUGACCCACCCACCAAUUGUAUCGUCUGUCAUCUGGACCCUCCAGUUUGGUCAACCUGUGGGACCAGGGACAUGGGGAAUUGACACCAUGCUGAGCUUGUGUUACUGUCUGUGUAAAUAAUAAACUUUCUAAAUC